Molecule: long non-coding RNA, 5982 nt
Filed under: Physcomitrium patens
Lineage: Eukaryota; Viridiplantae; Streptophyta; Bryopsida; Funariales; Funariaceae
Description: long non-coding RNA (PPAT_LNC010507)
Source: RNAcentral
AGGGCCAGAUUGUGAGAGUUGUGAGUCAAGGGCCAGACUGUGAGAGUUGUGAGCCGGGAUAAGCUUGGUGCUACCUCUUUUCUUUUGUUUGUUAUUUUCUUUGAAUAAGAGGAUUGAAAGUUUUUGAAUAUUGUGAAGUGAAUUAUAGAAUGGAAAUGUGAUUGGUAUUAUUUGAGAAGAAGAAAGAUUGAAUGCUGAAAUCUAAUUGUAGUUCAGCAGAGUGAAUGAGUCUGUGUUUGUGUGAAACACUGUAAUAUGAAUGGCAGUUCUGUGUGAAGAAUUCCAGUGAUUGGAACGAGGGUAAUUGUGUGAUGAAAGCUGUGAGGGCGCAGUAUCACAGUAAGAGAUUAUGAGGGUGAAUAUAUUGGUGGAAAUAGCAGUUAUUGGUAUGACUGAAUUGCUGUAAAGAAGAGACCGAUAAAGUGGAGGAGAUUAUAGUUUCCUUGUGUGUUCAGAUAUUGAAAGUAGAGACGAUACAUUCAGGAGAUAAUUGAUUGUGUGACCCUAACGUGAAUGCUUAAGCAACUAGUCAUUCCCCGUGUUCGAAUCCCCCUAUACGAGUUUAUGCUGGAAGGUUUCUUCCAAAAUAAGUAAAACGAGCAAUCACAUUUUGGCACCGCUGUUAAGGAGUGAUAGUAGCUUUGAGUGUUAGGAAUUAAUUACCAAACGUGUGAAAAAAUUGGCAAUGGAAGACGAUUUCAGUAGUGUUUGAAGAAAGAGUAUGAUUAUUAAGAAUGAGAAUUUAACAGCAAAGAGAAUAAAGCAAUCAAAGAAAAGAACAGAGAGAUAGCAAGCAAGAAAUUUGUUGCGUAAUAAGCGAGAUCACAAAUUAAAAAAGAAGCAUCGAUAAAGUUAGAUUAAGCCAUGGUUGCAUGCAUGUUGGCAUAUUCGAUCGUACCCAGAAGACGAUCGACCUCUAAUAUUUUAGAAGUACAUACCAUUAAAGAAAUUGCCAAGAGCACUUGCGGGGAGCGCUGCUAAUAGUCCAACAAAUCUCUCGUAGCCGUUAACGGAAAACGAGGAAGGUACAGAAGAAUUAGAUACCCCAUUGGAUAUCUUCUCAAUUGAAAAUACGUUUGAUCCUAAUAAGACUGGUUCUGAAGAUCGGCAUAAAUCACUUGCUAAUAAAGACCAAUUCAGAGUAUAUCAAAACCUAUCGUUUUCACCUCAUAUUCAACCAGUAAAAUUAUUUGGAGAUAAUAAUAGUCAAUCGGGAAGGCCUGGAAGUCCGAAAAAGACUUUUGUGGGAGACAGUUUUCUUUUUAAUAAGAAAUUGAGCAGAACACCGGCAUCUUUAAUGACGUCCAGAGAACCAGCAGUUGUGAUUGCAGUUCAAAUGGGUGCAGUGGGUGAUCGAACAACUAAUGUCGUGCCAUUACCUACUUUUUGGGGUUUGCCAAGUGCGGAUCCAGAUCAACAUUUGUCUCAAUUCUUGACGACGUGUGUAGCCAGUAAUGGAAGAAUAGAAGAUAUUUGGCUGAGAUGGCUGCUAGGGACAUUGAAAGACACAACGUUUGUGUGGUAUAACCGCCAACCUGUGGGACAAUUUAUCAAUUGGAAGGCAUUGAAAAAUACAUUUUUAGCCCAUUUUCGACCAAUUGGUUUUGAAGAAUGUCUUACAGAAAAAUUAAUAAACAACAGAAUGGUACCAAGAAAAGCGAUACAGUCAUAUUAUGGUCGUGUAGCGGAUAUACUUUAAAAAUGGCCAAAUAACCAAAUGUCAGAAUCAUUUGUGUUGUCCAUAUUGGUUAAUAGACUACACCCACCAGAAUUGAAAAUAUUUGUAAAGGAGGCACAAUCAGCCACUAUUGCAUCAUCUCUUGAGCAAGCAAAAGUAUGGGAGGAAUAUCACUAUGACCAGAACUUAACAGUUGGAGCCACGAUGAUUCCAUCUCAAGAAGGUUAUCAAAUGAUAAAUAGGAAUGACGCAUCGUGAAGUUAUUUGGGAAGGAACGAUUAUGGUACAAUUCCACGGGGAAUAGUAGAUGUCGUUCCAUUGCAAGCUGUACCACCAUCAUCAUCACACCCGUAUGCACCUUAUUCUACGUAUCAAAAACCAAUACCUAUAAAGGAAUUACCAAAUGCAUUGGUAUCAAGGGAUCCUAAUGAGUCAUUGCUAUUAACAUUGACAAAAAAAAUGGAUGAAUUGGCUGUGAAUCUAGCCAAGGAUAAAGAAAAAAAGGCAUAAACCACCCAAUAUGAAUUCCAAUGUUUAGUGCAGCAAUUAUAAGCGGCAUGGUCAUUUAGUAACAGAAUGUCCUUCACCACCCCAAAUGACUAUACAAUAUACGUUUGGCGGGGGCAAGCAUAUUACUACCAACUGUUGGAAUUUACGAAAGCAACAACAACUCAAUAACCAGAUAAUGACUCAACCAAUUUCGUGGGAUGUCAAUCAAGUAUAGACAAAUAAUAGGUUUGGUUGGAAUGGAAAUCGAGCGAAUAAACAAAACAAGAAUUAUUCUAAUUUUUUCAACUCUGAAUUUCACCAAGAAGGUGUAUUCAAUACUCACAGAUUGGCGAUGAACCAACCAAGAUACCAUCAAUAUCCACCUAUGACGAAGCCAAUGCCAGACUCUACAUUAACAAUAGGUCAACCAGGAUCCUUUACUCAUCCGACAUGGAACAGACCUAGUCGUUAUAUACCAGUAGAGACACCCAUUCUCCUUGAAGGAGUUGCUCCAAUAUGUGGAAAUUGUAAGCAGUCUGGUCACACUUAUCAGUAAUGCAAUGUGCCCUUUAAUUAUAAUAACCGAGACCAACAAAUACAAACAAGCCAAUCGACAGAGGACAAAGGUCCUUUUCAACGAGACUCAUCAAUACAUCACGUCGAGGUGGUGAACGUAGUGCUUACUAGAGGCCAAUAAAAAGACAAGAAUUCAAUUCAAGACAUGGAUGAACCAAUCGCAGGAGAGCAAGUAGUGUCGUCCAUCGACCUAAAUGAACCAAUAUCAAUAUUGGGACGUAUACCAAUAUUGAGACCUCAACAUACUAAGGAACCCAAUUUAGUCCCACGUGUCAAUUUACUGGGACCAUCGAGAUCGAUCCCAACAGACCAAGUACCAAUACCUGUAUAGCACAAUAAAAGAUCUUACGCAUUAAAAGAACCUUUAGUGGUAAACAAGUUGACGAAGUUACCAACAGCAAUCCCAAUCGCCAAGAAGGAAUUGCUACCGAACGGAGUAAAAUUGAAAUCAAUGAAAUGCAAAAGAGCAUUGGAAAUUACUCUCAAUAUAGAAUCCUAUGACAUUCUGAGGGAUUUGGAUGUUAUUCAGCCUUCAAUUACAAUGAAGCAACUUUUGGCUGUAGCACCGAAAUAUCGAUAUACAUUGAAUUCAGUGUUAAUACGACAAAGAUCCCGCACUAAAGAAAUUCAUGAAGUUAGCUUAAACCCAAAUCCGGGAGCACCAACAAUCAAUGUAUCAAUCGAUGGCAUUUUAAUUCCAGGUGUACAAGUCCAUGGUGGCUAUAAUGUGAAUUUAAUGAACGCGGAUACAAUGGAGGACUUGGAUCUAAAGCAAUUCCUACCUACGACAUUGGUAUUAUGAAUGGCAGAUCAUAGCCAGAUUAAACCAAUAGAUAUCUUAUGGAGUGUUCAAACUAUGAUUGUCGGUAUUGCAUAUGAAAUCGACUAUAUCGUCUUUCGGUUACAACUUUCGACUUUAUUGUAUCCAAUUUUAUUGAAACGACCUUGGCUUUAUCAAAUAAAGGCCAAAAAUGAUUGGGAUCGGGGUACUUUGACAAUUGACAAAGACAGAGACAAAAUGGUGUUACAAAUGAACCCAGUACACUAUCACGCGGAGUCUCAAUUACCAGCAUCUGAAUUAAAGUCGGAUGAUGAGCUUAGCUCUGAUGACGAUGCAGUAGCAUCAAUUACGGAGGCGCCCGUGGAAGUAGCACUAUACCCUAGAGUGGUGUACCAAUGUGGAGAUCCGAGGGAGUACUUGAUAUACCCGAAGGACUUGGAAAACUCAGAUUAUGUUAGUACUGAUUGGAUGACCAAGUAUGAUGUGCACCAUAUUAGUACCUUGGACACAGGAUUCAGUACUUUAUAUAUGUCAAACUUAUCGACUAACUUUAAACCAGCGUGGAGGUUGAAACAGAACAUCGUUGUUGCACCUUUAUGUCAAACUAUCAACUUGGCGACCACAGCAGAACCUCAGACAAUUAAGGUCUACGAAGGUAUUAAGGAACAAGAGUUGACCUGCUGUACCAAAUUUUUCUUGCAUCAUAAAUCCGCUUUUGCUUGGACUUAUGAUGAUUUGAAAGGUAUUUCCACUGAAGUCUGUGAGCAUCGUAUCAUUUUAGAGGAGAAUGCUAAAUCGAUACGGCAGAGGCAACAUCGCCUUAAUCCUAAAUAUUUCCUCAUGGUGAAGGAGGAAUUGGAUAAGCUUCUUGCGGUUGAUUUUAUUUACUCGGUACCAAAUAGUGAGUGGGUUUCUCCAAUCGUGAUGGUACCGAAAAAGAAUGGAAAUUGUCAGGAUUUUUGGAAACUUAAUGCAACCACCAAGAAAGAUUACUUCUCAUUACCUUUCACGGACAGUAUGGGUAACAUAUUAGUAUUAUCACCAGGUAGUAAAAGAAUAGGAGUGGGGCACCAGUUAAAGUCAUUCUCUGGUGUUGUUUUGGGUUGGAUAGAGUGCCAUUUUCUUCUAUUUCUUGUGUUUUCGAGAGUAGUAGUUCCAGUUAAGAGUUAACAAUGAGGAGCCAAUCAAAGAAAGAGAACGCAUGGUGGAAACCCAUAGGCAAGAACUAUUCCAGACUCACAGUCAUUCAAUUUUGGAACUGGAAAAAGCGAAGGGUCAAUUGGUAAUGGAACGAGAAAAGAUCGAGUUAUUGGCGCAAGAGAUAUUAGUAUUGAAUGACCAAUACAGAUAUGAAACGGAGUGAUUAAGGGUUGAAAUUGAGGCCUUGAACGUCGAGGUGAUAAGAUUGGCAAAGGAUUUAGUCAAUAUUGAUCAAGCACAAGUAUUGACGUUGCCAGUUCCCGAAGUUCCAAAAGAGAGGAGUCACUUUCAGCACCAGUUGGAAUUGAAAGAUGCCCAAAUCUUGAAAUUCGAAGCUCAAGUCCGUGAACUGGGUGAGUACAAUGAAGACCUUCCAACUCAGUUGAGGCAAGAGCCAAUGGAAGGAUUGGAGGAGGACGAAGAUUUGCAGUUGGAACCAGAAUCGGUGGAACCAAUAACAGAUACUACAGCAAUUGAUUAAUUAGAUAGGCCAGAGGGAUCGCAAUUUUUGUAGAGUUUUGUUAGAUACUUUUUAGAUAGGUAUCAAUUGAAUGUUUGCGAGGAUGCUGCCAAGUUAGGAGUGGAGCUAUGUAGAAUAAGUAGUUAUUUUUAGAAUGUAGAUACCUAGUGUAUAGUAUAAACAGGGACAGAUAACUGCUGAAAAGGUGGUUCAGUAGGUAGAAUAGAUGAAUAGUCAAGAAAAGUAGUUAUCAUCUAUAGUAUAGGAGUUGGUAUCUCGGGGUAGUAUAAGGAGGAUGGAAGAGGGGAAGAAAAUGCCAGACUAUGAGAAUUGUGAGCCGAGGGCCAGACUAUGAGAGUUGUGAGUCGAGGGUCAGACUGUGAGAGUUGUGAGCUGGGGUAAACUUGGUGCUACCUCUUUUCUUUUGUUUGUUAUUUUCUUUGAAUAAGAGGAUUGAAAGUUUUUGAAUAUUGUGAAGUGAAUUAUAGAAUGGAAAUGUGAUUGGUAUUAUUUGAGAAGAAGAAAGAUUGAAUGCUGAAAUCUAAUUGUAGUUCAGCAGAGUGAAUGAGUCUGUGUUUGUGUGAAACACUGUAAUGUGAAUGGCAGUUCUGUGUGAAGAAUUCCAGUGAUUGGAACGAGGGUAAUUGUGUGAUGAAAGCUGUGAGGGCGCAGUAUCACAGUAAGAGAUUAUGAGGGUGAAUAUAUUGGUGGAAAUAGCAGUUAUUGGUAUGACUGAAUUGCUAUAAAGAAGAGAUCGAUAAAGUGAAGGAGGAGAUUAUAGUUUCUUUAUGUGUUCAG